GGAAAAGCCACCGAGAGGCCUGACCCUGAGGGGUCGGGGGGAGAUGCGGGCGCGUAGUAGAGGGAAGCGACUGAGGAGCGGGGACUGGGCAGCAUUUGAAUGGAUGCGGGUGCCGCUGGCACCCGGGAAGACGCCCGGGAGCCGGCGCUGGGGAGCCGGGCAUGGGCUGGGAUGUGUUUGGAUUCCAAUCUGGGCCUGACACCAGUUCAGUGACCUCGGGAAGUUCCCCAACCCUGCGGGCCUGUUUCCUCCCUCUGAAGUGGCGACAGUAGUAGAACCGACCUCGUAGGCUCAUCGGGAGGUCCUGAUGGGAGAACCCAUGCAACUUGCCGCCACAGAGCCAGGCCCGCGGCGAUUGGCUCCUGGUGGGUAUUAAAGACGAGUCGGGAAAGAAGAGCAGGGUUGCCUACUGAGGAAGCUUUUCACAGCAGGUGAUGAGACCUUCAGCAGGCUCAAUCAAACCUUCAAUGGCCCCGAAAGACAUCUUGAUUGAAACCUCAUGAGAGACUCUGAGCCAGAAAACCCAGCAACUUAGAACCCAGAUACCUGACCAUCAGCCACUGUGUGAAAUAAUAAAUGUUUGUUGUUUUAA
Molecule: long non-coding RNA, 592 nt
Filed under: Pan troglodytes (chimpanzee)
Lineage: Eukaryota; Metazoa; Chordata; Mammalia; Primates; Hominidae
Description: lincRNA
Source: RNAcentral